CCUACGGGAGGCAGCAGUGAGGAAUAUUGGUCAAUGGGCGCGAGCCUGAACCAGCCAAGUCGCGUGAAGGAAGACUGCCCUAUGGGUUGUAAACUUCUUUUGUACAGGAAUAAAGUGAGUCACGUGUGGCUUUUUGUAUGUACUGUACGAAUAAGGAUCGGCUAACUCCGUGCCAACAGCCGCGGUAAU
This 189-nucleotide ribosomal RNA is filed under the name uncultured bacterium. Its description in RNAcentral is "partial 16S ribosomal RNA". It matches the Rfam family "Bacterial small subunit ribosomal RNA", at positions 338 to 524 of the family's 1533-position model. The record is from RNAcentral.